RNAcentral lists this ribosomal RNA (264 nucleotides) under uncultured bacterium. RNAcentral's name for it is "partial 16S ribosomal RNA". It matches the Rfam family "Bacterial small subunit ribosomal RNA", at positions 88 to 354 of the family's 1533-position model. The record is from RNAcentral.
CAUUCGAGUGGCGGACGGGUGAGUAACGCGUGGGUAACCUGCCUUACACAGGGGGAUAACACCUGGAAACAGGUGCUAAUACCGCAUAAGCGCACAGGGCCGCAUGGCCCGGUGUGAAAAACUCCGGUGGUGUAAGAUGGACCCGCGUCUGAUUAGCUUGUUGGCGGGGUGGGCCCACCAAGGCGACGAUCAGUAGCCGGCCUGAGAGGGUGGACGGCCACAUUGGGACUGAGACACGGCCCAAACUCCUACGGGAGGCAGCAG